AAAGGAAUAGACGGGGGCCCGCACAAGCAGUGGAGUAUGUGGUUUAAUUCGAAGCAACGCGAAGAACCUUACCAGGGCUUGACAUCCCUCGAAUAACGUAGAGAUACGUUAGUCCUUCGGGACGAGGAGACAGGUGGUGCAUGGUUGUCGUCAGCUCGUGUCGUGAGAUGUUGGGUUAAGUCCCGCAACGAGCGCAACCCUUGUUGUUAGUUGCCAGCAGGUAAAGCUGGGCACUCUAACGAGACUGCCGGUGACAAAUCGGAGGAAGGUGGGGAUGAUGUCAAAUCAUCAUGCCCCUUAUGUCCUGGGCUACACACGUACUACAAUGGCUACAACAGAAGGAAGCGAUACCGCGAGGUGGAGCAAAUCCAGAAAAAGUAGUCUCAGUUCGGAUUGAGGGCUGCAACUCGCCCUCAUGAAGUCGGAAUUGCUAGUAAUGGCAGGUCAGCAUACUGCCGUGAAUACGUUCCCGGGCCUUGUACACACCGCCCGU
RNAcentral lists this ribosomal RNA (493 nucleotides) under uncultured bacterium. Its description in RNAcentral is "bacterial SSU rRNA". It matches the Rfam family "Bacterial small subunit ribosomal RNA", at positions 903 to 1397 of the family's 1533-position model. The record is from RNAcentral.